UGGGGAAUAUUGGGCAAUGGGCGAAAGCCUGACCCAGCAACGCCGCGUGAAGGAAGAAGGCCUUCGGUUGUAAACUUCUUUUACCAGGGACGAAGGACGUGACGGUACCUGGAGAAAAAGCAACGGCUAACUACGUGCCAGCAGCCGCGGUAAUACGUAGGUUGCAAGCGUUGUCCGGAUUUACUGGGUGUAAAGGGUGUGUAGGCGGAGAGGCAAGUCAGAUGUGAAAAUUACGGGCUCAACCCGUAACCUGCAUUUGAAACUGUUUCCCUUGAGUGUCGGAGAGGUAAAUGGAAUUCCCAGUGUAGCGGUGAAAUGCGUAGAUAUUGGGAGGAACACCGGUGGCGAAGGCGGUUUACUGGACGACAACUGACGCUGAGACACGAAAGUGUGGGGAGCAAACAGGAUUAGAUACCCUGGUAGU
RNAcentral lists this ribosomal RNA (424 nucleotides) under uncultured Oscillospiraceae bacterium. RNAcentral's name for it is "bacterial SSU rRNA". It matches the Rfam family "Bacterial small subunit ribosomal RNA", at positions 355 to 794 of the family's 1533-position model. Lineage: Bacteria; Bacillati; Bacillota; Clostridia; Eubacteriales; Oscillospiraceae. The record is from RNAcentral.